Molecule: non-coding RNA, 4948 nt
Organism: Microcebus murinus (gray mouse lemur)
Lineage: Eukaryota; Metazoa; Chordata; Mammalia; Primates; Cheirogaleidae
Source: RefSeq, a predicted model, not a curated record
CUCGGCCUCCCAGAGUGCUAGGAUUACAGGCAUGAGCCACCACGCCCAGCUCAUAGCUGCUUUUAAAUGUUUGAUUCCCUUUGGUUGUAAGGCAGCCCUAAAAUUACAGAUUAAUGUGUGUCUCGGCCUUUUAGCUCAUUGGAGUCCACAGGAGAGAGGAUCAUCUCUUGCUAACCAGGUAAGAGAUUUUACAAGGCAAGACCUAAAAGUUCCAUAGAACUCAGUGAUGAUUAAUGCGCACCAUUACUGUUUUAACUAGUCCAGAAAUGAGACAAGGGUAUCUUCAAUUAAGCUUAAAGGUAGAGAUGAUUUUUUAUUUGUAAUACAUAUUUUAUGGGACACAGAUCUCUGGGUUAAAUGAAAUUGGGCUGUUUCUCACAAGCAUGAACUUGUUCUCUUUGCUCUGUUUCUUAAAUGAUGUUCCUCCCUUUUCAGUAUAAUUUUCUAAAUUUUGAUACCCCACAUGAUAAGGUUUUUAUUUUAUAGAAGUUUUAUGAAAGUCUUGUUCUAAAGUGGAAACCUGUUUUUCCCAGCCUCUUUCUGAAUGAGAUUGUUUUUUAUAUGUCUUCUCCAUUUAAUGAAGACUCACUUAUCAGUUCUCUUGAAGAUACACUUUUUGCUGCUUGCACAUUUUAGAUUCCUGGACUGGUUGAGAUGCACAUGGCUCAUGUUGGUUCCUAAACUCUCCCAGCAGACUCAUUGGGCAUCUGAUAAAUAUUACUUACUCUUUAACUUUUAUGCAAUUUUUUAGGUUUGCUAGUUGGCUUUUAUUGAAUUUUAAAGUGCCGCUUUGUGAAUUCUCACAAGCACAGGUCCAGCUUCUUGCUGGUGCACCUGGUGGUGGUAUCGCCUUACAGGUCAGGGACUUCUUAAACCCCAAAAUCCCACAGGACCACUUUUGAGGAAAUUAUUUGAUUCCAGUACUUCCUCUGUCAAUAAUAGGUCAAUGACAUGUUAAAGUAGUGAACGAAACAGUAAAAGUAUUAAUUUUUCUUUAAAGAAGGAUUUACUUGUUUUGUGUUUUUAUACCAUUUCCUGUAUUCCCUUAAUCUGGAUAGGAAAAUGAGCAGAUAGCUUUAAAAAUAUUCAGAGUAGUGACAUUCUAAAAAUAGUUACCUGUAAAUAGGAUUUUAGAGUGAAUAUGGCGAUGCCACAGGCAGUGUCUAAGAUGGCGCAGAAUGGCCCCCACAUUGGCCUUGUGUAAUCCCUUCCUCUGGAUCACUUGUUACUAACCCACAGGACGCCUCAGCACCGAUGGGACUUUCAGCUGCCUGAUGAGACCAGAAACAUUCUGCCUCCAUCUUGCUGACAGGCUUUUCCUUGCUGGCCCCCCGGAGAAAGCCACAUCCUUGGGAGAUAAUCCAUGUGCAGAGAAUCAAGGGGGCCUCUGGCCCAAAGUCAGCCACAGCCAGAAGGGAGUGAAUCCAGCCAACCACCUGCGAAUGAGCUGAGAAGGAGGUCCUUCCUGUGUCAGGCCUCAGUAUUGAUAUGGAAAAUAUCGGGCUCCAGGAAGCAGCCGCUUGCCACCUCCCCCCAGCGCUGCGCGUGGCCGGCCGGCAGCAGAGAGCCGCCUGGGGCCCUUCGUUCUGCUGCCUGUUUCCAGCCAGGCUGCUUGCCUGAUCCUGAUUGGGGUAUAAAAGCAGGAGGAGAACAAGGAAGGGGAGCAGAAAGAGAAGAUUGGAAGGCGCAAAGAGAGCUGUAACACUAGGUGUGUUGAGAUCGCUGGCUGAAUAAAGGCUGUUCUCCAACUCUUUGUGUGCUGCUCAGUUCUUUCCCCAGUCAAGAGCUGUAACACUAGCUGUACACAUUGCCACAACAGUAUGGUAUACCUUGCCCUUUUUAAACUUAGAAAUAUAUCUUGGAAAUCAUUCUGUGGUAGCACAUAUAAAACUGCAUCAUUCUCAUCCAUGUCAUUUCACAUACAUUCCAGCAUAUCUGUAGGACAGCAGGGUGCUGUCGCUGGGCCAAAGGGUGUGAGCACUUUUGAUUUUGAUAUUUUUGCUGAAUUGCUCUACAUUGUAGUGUGAGUUUUUACUCUUGCAGGAAAUGUAUGAAGAGCCUCUGUUUCUCUACAUCCUUGCCAAACAGUGUGUUAGAAAACUUAUUUUUCCCAAUCUAAUAGGUGAAAAUGGUAUCUGACUUAAUGUGCACAGAUGGCUUUAGAUGCUGGGAGCAGAGCCCGCCUGGGGCAGGGUGCCCACUGCCUUCCCAGCACAGCCUGGCCCCGCAAAAAAGCCUGGCUUCCCUACCUUCUCUGCCACUGAGGUCUAGAGAGAGCCCCUUGGGGACAGGCCUCCCCUUACCUCCAGAUGUUUCAGGCUGUCACAUGAGCAGCCAUCUGUGACCAUAAGGUGGUCCCUGUGGGCAAAAAGACAUCUCUAAGUUUGGCUCUAGUGGCCACUUGUGGAGCUGCUGGCCCAACCUUGUACUGCGUUCCGGUGACAACCACAACACCCAGUGGCACUCGUGGGUCCACAUGAGGAUCCUGCACUUAAAACUCACGUCAUCUUCACAGCAGCUUUGGGCAGAAAGAUGAUUAUCCCCGUUUCACAAAGGAGGAAAUGGAGGUGCAGGGAGUCUAAGUAGCUUGCCUGAGGCCACCCCACUAUCCAGGGGCGGAUGAGGACCAGCAGCCCAGCCGGCACACUCAGAUCCCCUGCUCUGAGCCACUGCUGCAGCGAUUGCGGAUGGGCAGCCAGCAGCCUUCGCAGUUCAAACCACUGUGUGACUGAGUGGUCUGGUACUUACAACCCAAACCAUCCUGCCUGAUACGCCUGACCCCACUAAGAAGUCAUUCCGAACCACAAGAGUGGGGUUUAAGCUUCAUUGGAGCCAUUUAAUAUGUGAGAGUUACUAGAAAACUGUCCAGUCUGCCCACGAUGACACCAGGGGGUGAGAAAGGAAGACUCAAAAGAACAUGAUGGGCAGUGGUUAAUAUCACCUGAGAAGCCAGUGCCUGCAUGGGCCGUGCACCUGUGGAGCCCCCAGCAGCGGGGCUCUGACGUUGCCUGGUGGCAGUCCCACAGGGCUUCUGUGCUUGGUAGGAGGAAGGCUUGCUUUUCCCUGGUAGUCGCAGUUUUCCACCAUGUUCAAAUGUAACUAUCUUUGCAAUCGGCAAUAUUUUUUAAAGUAAAUGUAAAUGCAGUUGUUUUACUAAGAGAUUUUAAAAUGUGAACAUCACUUCAUGCUGACAUUCAGUAAGCUUAAUGAGAACUUAUCACUGUAAUUAACUAAGAUAUUUGAGUCAAUUUAUUGGGCAGUCAAAUGUCUAUUGGUGGUGGGAUUUUUGAAAAGGCUUUUGAAAUGUCAUCUCCCAGUAAGUUUCUAAAUCGGUUUUUGUUUCUGAAAAUCCCAAGUUUGGGAUUCCUAGCUAUUCUCACAGGCAUCUCUGCUGAACUGCAGAUGAUGAUUUCUCUCGCCAGCACAGCAUGUGAAUUCUCAGACAGCAGAAUUAACCAGGUAGCUUUAUGCUGGAAUGUCGGCUUUGCUUACAAAGUGUGUUCCAAUUUGGUGUUCGUGAUGAGUUUAGCAAGCUGAGUGGUUUAGUUACUUUUUGGGCCCAUCCUCUGCUGAGAAAGGGAUCAGAGGGGUCUUCCUGGCAGUUGUUAACACAGGGGUGCUGUCUGGCACCUGCCACGUUGCUGGGAGCUGAAUUGUAACCACGUCUGGACAGUGGCAGCAGUAUGGCUGCUAGUUGCUGUAUUGCAUUACAAGGUUGGCUUUCCCUUUCCUGUCAUUUUAACAUCAAUCUUAAGCCAGCUAAGAGGUUUUAAAUGUUUCCAGUUAUUUAGAUCUUUAGACCAUGAAGAAAGCCAUUGCUUCCUUGGGUGCUAAGAGAGAGGGUGAUGAGCCAGUGUCCUUGCAGAGCCCGAGGCUGCCGCUAAAGCCAAUUCAAGAUCAGUUACUAAAAAUGUCAAUCAUGCAAAAAUGGCUGAGAUGGAAUAAAAAAAGAAAACAUUAUAAACUGUGUGUAUAGUGCGAUCCUUUCCUGUAAGGAAAAUUACUAAUACUGGGCAUUAGUAAUUGUGCAGAGAGAAAGUUUGGAGCACAUGCUCCAUGCUGAUAACCAGGCUGCAUUUGGGAAGGUGGAUGAUGGGAAUGUUUGUUGUUGGCAGUGUCUUCUGUCAUGUUUGAUUUUUGAAUAAUAUGUAUUAUUUCUGUGGUCUAAAAAGUGAGGGAAAAGACCAAAAGUCAGAGAGUAUAAUCCACCCAAGACACCAGAAGCCAGUUAGGCCAUCUAAAUGGCUGGUCCCAGGGUGAGUCCCCGUGGGCAACACCAGGGCGUGGAGCUGCGGAUUCCACAGUGCUCGGCUCCUCUGCAGGACUCGGGCCGGGUUCAGUGUCCCUGCGGCUGCCCCGGCUGUGCACACAGUGUGCCUGCAGGGGCGCCCGCGAGCCGGCUGGCCUGUUGAGGGCUGCCCACUGCCCCAGGAGCGCCUGGUGACGGCGGACUGGGCCCGGUGUGGGAGCCACAAACCGGAUGAGAGUGCAGACGUUCUGUGUGCAGGCAGCAGUGGACAAACUGGGUAGACGUGUCCAGGCAUCCUCGUUCCCGGGUGCCUGGAAGCAGGAGCCCCUCCGGUGGGGCAGGGUCCGAGCUGUCACCCUCCGCUGGCACCUUCCUACCCCUCCCCCUGGCUGCAGGCGCUGGGACUCACCCCACAAAGCCACCAGCCAGGGCUGUCAGGCACGCAGUCGCGCUUCUGGCCGUGUCACUGGCGUAAUCGGCAAGAUCAGGUGGCCACAAAGAGCCAUGAAUGAGGUGGUGAUUGCGUUCAAGGGAAAAAGAGUUAAAGAGAGACUUCUCCUUUCUCACAAGAUCCGUGAAAGCAGUGACAGCUAAUAUUUUAAAGCUAGAACAAGAUAAUUGUGGCAAGAGAUCUUUGUAAGUUCUCUGGAAACCGCUGCAUGCUCACAAUACGUAUUCAAAUGCUCUUUGUGUCGUAAA